UUUACUACAGUAAGGGUCAAAUACUCGAUUCAUCUUCUAUCAAUAUACACUCCGUGCUUAGAAUGAUAUUCCUGGUGGGUUUUUUUUAAAUAAAUUCGUUAUUUUGUUAAUUAAAUCUGAAAUGUCAACUUUAAAGGAUUUAGUUUAUUUAACACACAUACAACCAUUACAUACAAACAUUGAUUGCGUCGUUUCGUUUUGUAAUUCUUAAUCGUUUUACUAUCUCACAAAUAACUGAUUGCGUCGGUACUUAAUUAAAAAUAAUUUGUUUGCAUGCGAGAGUAGAUGAAUGAGCCAAACUGUUGAGCAUAAUCUGCAUAUACUGAUGAUGGAAGAUAAGUGUAUCGAGUGUGCGUUAGCAGUUCUACCGCGACAACAAGGAAUUUCUUGUUACCUAUGUGACAAAUGGCAACAAAGAACAUGCAAUCAGAUACAUUGCCGGGACGCUGUCGACGAGUGGGUUACUCAAGUACUUUCUACAAAACAGUGGUUACCAAGAGACCAGAAGAAAUAGUGAAUAGUGAAUUAGGAUGAUAUUUCAACAUUGCCGGUCUUGAUCGAUAAAAAAUGGAUGUGUUAUGAUGUUAUUUAUGUAACGAUAUCAAUUCAGAUAUCGACUUAGAUUUGCGUUUUUAUACAUUUUUAGCUAUUGUAAAGUAUUUGAUACGAAGAGAAUUAACUUAUUCUGAUAAACACAGAAAUAACUCAUAUUCUUACUCAUAUAUCUCAUUUUUGUUCUUUCUUGUCAAUUAUUAUGUUUGACAACUAUUGGAAACAAAUUGAUAAAAAGAGAAUUAACUCAUUCUGAUAAACACAGAAAUAACUCAUAUUCUUACUCAUAUA
Long non-coding RNA from Dreissena polymorpha, 843 nucleotides. RefSeq lists it as uncharacterized. The record is from RefSeq and is a predicted model, not a curated record. NCBI's taxonomy places the organism in Eukaryota, Metazoa, Mollusca, Bivalvia, Myida, Dreissenidae. The transcript is spliced from 3 exons.